GUCUACGGCCAUGCCACCCUAAACAUGCCUGAUCCUGUCUGAUCUCAGAAGCUAAGCAGGGUUUGGCCUGGUUAGUACUUGGGUGGGAGACCACCAAGGAAGACUGGGUACUAUAGGUG
RNAcentral lists this ribosomal RNA (119 nucleotides) under Pteropus alecto (black flying fox). Lineage: Eukaryota; Metazoa; Chordata; Mammalia; Chiroptera; Pteropodidae. The record is from RNAcentral.